RNAcentral lists this long non-coding RNA (1224 nucleotides) under Apteryx rowi (Okarito brown kiwi). RNAcentral's name for it is "lncRNA (ENSARWG00000016302.1)". The record is from RNAcentral. Lineage: Eukaryota; Metazoa; Chordata; Aves; Apterygiformes; Apterygidae.
CUCUAUGAAAAGUAAGUUUCUAAAGAAGCAUUAAGCCCACCAUUGUAACCUUUUAAAGUAAGUGUUUACAGCCGUGCUCAGGUUGCUAUAUAGUAAGGGAAUUCUUAAUGGGAAGUGUUAUGUGAAUAAUAUGUUAUAAAAAUUGGACAUUUCUUGUUCUUGUGCACUUGAUUGUGAAUUUCCAGAUUUAAUUUGUAAGGGAAAAAAAAAAGAAUUUAGAAUGAAGCUUAUCGGGCCUCUUAGCUGCUGUGCUGAAUGGCCAGCUUCUCCCAGCAAAUCAUUACCUAGUCACCUUCCUGAAAGAACAGCCUUUUCCUCUAGUUAUUGCAGAUGUGCAAUUACAUGCAGAGUCUGUUUACAGAUUCUUAAAAGAAAAUAUUUGAAGGGGAGAAUGUAGCCAUGACCAUAUAGAAAGUCAGCAUUGUCACCUUUACAUUAUUUGAAAUAACAUUUCCUGCCUUUUCUUUGUUCUAUGCUGCCCAAUGGAAAAGGUUAUUGGGAUGAAGAAAGAAAAUUACUCUGCUGGUCUUUUAGGGUAUGUCUGUACCGCAAAAUGUAGUGCUGGGCAGAUAUAUUCCAUCCAGCUCAGMAGGGAAAGCAAAGAAGCCAUGUCAUCACGGUGCUUGUUAGACAGAAGGAAAAAGCAGUUUUUGGAAAGAGAGAGAUCAGAGCUGUAGACAUUGAAGACAAAUCAGGCCUGCGGGGUGAAUCAUGAUCUCUCCCAACAGACCAGAGUCUGCAGCUGGGUAUGGAAGCAGGUGAGUAAGGCACUGCCAUAAGCAGAGUUGUUGAGGAGUGUGACAUUUCACUUAUUUCUCCCUGGGAUCACUGCCGUCCAACAGGCUAUGGUACCUGCUACUUCUCCACACUUUGAAAACCUGGUGUUUUGUGAUAUCCAUAUUAUUUUACAUUUUUUAAAAGUUCUGUUAGACUGUAAAUUCUUCCAUGUUGGGAUCAUCUUGUCUUCCACAUAGCACCUUAUAAAGCUGUCCCUGAGACUGGGGACUCUGGGAUGAAAUCCCUGCAGUAACACAGCUUUACUCACAGCUGCGGGAGCAAGUCGGCCUGGGGCUGUGACAAGUCAUUCUGCUGUUCUUACUCAGCUUCUGCCUCUCACGGAUGGAAGUGACAACUUUCUCACAGCGUUAGCAUGGCAUGAACUACAACUAAUAUGCCUUAUAAACAAGAGAAAGUACAACAGAGCUGCUCUGAGUCAUGGUAGAU